Molecule: ribosomal RNA, 720 nt
Filed under: delta proteobacterium FM3-E2
Lineage: Bacteria; Deltaproteobacteria
Description: bacterial SSU rRNA
Rfam family: Bacterial small subunit ribosomal RNA
Source: RNAcentral
GUGAGUAACGCGUGGGUAAUCUACCCUUGGAUUUGGGAUAACUCUGCGAAAGUGGAGCUAAUACCGGAUAGUCUGGCUUUAAAUAAGAAGUCGGUAAAGGAUGCCUCUGCAUAUGCAUUCGUCCGAGGAUGAGCCCGCGUCUCAUUAGCUAGUUGGUAGGGUAAUGGCCUACCAAGGCAACGAUGAGUAGCUGGUCUGAGAGGAUGAUCAGCCACACUGGAACUGAAACACGGUCCAGACUCCUACGGGAGGCAGCAGUGGGGAAUAUUGCGCAAUGGGCGAAAGCCUGACGCAGCAACGCCGUGUGAGGGAUGAAGGCUUUCGGGUCGUAAACCUCUGUCGGAAGGGAAGAACGGGCAUUGGUCUAAUAGGCCUUUGUUUUGACGGUACCUUUAGAGGAAGCACCGGCUAACUCCGUGCCAGCAGCCGCGGUAAUACGGAGGGUGCAAGCGUUAUUCGGAAUUACUGGGCGUAAAGCGCACGUAGGCGGCCUUGUAAGUCAGGGGUGAAAUCCCACGGCUCAACCGUGGAACUGCCUUUGAAACUGCAGGGCUUGAAUCCUGGAGAGGGUGGCGGAAUCCUGGUGUAGGAGUGAAAUCCGUAGAUAUCAGGAGGAACACCGGUGGGCGAAAGGCGGCCACCUGGACAGGCAUUGACGCUGAGGUGCGAAAGUGUGGGGAGCAAACAGGAUUAGAUACCCUGGUAGUCCACACCGUAAAC